Molecule: transfer RNA, 75 nt
Filed under: Candidatus Collierbacteria bacterium RIFOXYA1_FULL_46_24
Lineage: Bacteria; Candidatus Collieribacteriota
Also listed under: 2 other names
Description: tRNA-Arg
Rfam family: tRNA
About the family: Transfer RNA (tRNA) molecules are approximately 80 nucleotides in length. Their secondary structure includes four short double-helical elements and three loops (D, anti-codon, and T loops). Further hydrogen bonds mediate the characteristic L-shaped molecular structure. tRNAs have two regions of fundamental functional importance: the anti-codon, which is responsible for specific mRNA codon recognition, and the 3' end, to which the tRNAs corresponding amino acid is attached (by aminoacyl-tRNA synthetases). tRNAs cope with the degeneracy of the genetic code in two manners: having more than one tRNA (with a specific anti-codon) for a particular amino acid; and 'wobble' base-pairing, i.e. permitting non-standard base-pairing at the 3rd anti-codon position.
Source: RNAcentral
GCGUCUGUCGUUCAACGGAUAGGACUACAGUCUUCGGAACUGUUAAUGGGGGUUCGAUUCCUCCCAGACGCACUA